RNAcentral lists this long non-coding RNA (2687 nucleotides) under Gallus gallus (chicken). The record is from RNAcentral. Lineage: Eukaryota; Metazoa; Chordata; Aves; Galliformes; Phasianidae.
AGCAAUUUAUGAAGCAGUCAUAAUUUUCAACCUACAGACAAAGAAAUAAAAGUGUUGACACCCGUAUUGUAACAUCUGUGAAGGGAAAAAUACGAGCCCGUUGCUAAAUUCAAGAAUUAUGGAGGGUUUCUUUUUCAGUUAAUUUUGUUCAUUAUCAGACGUGAUUAUUUUUAAUAGGGAAAAAAGAAUCCUCAUGUUUAUGUAUCAGUGCUGAAAAGCUACUUUCUGGAUCGUAGUUUUCUCAGCGCUGCUCAGAAGCAAUAAUUUACGACGCGAGUGACUUUUCUGAUAUUCUGAGCGUUUUUAUUUCCAGAUGAUUAUUUUAACAUAUGCUCAUCUUUGAAUAUGUCAAAAACUCUUCCCAUGCGUGCAACACAGAGAAAACCUGCACCCCUGAAAGCAGCACAUCUUUCACAAUAAGAGAAUUCUGAAUACUUGCAGGCAAACACCGGACACCAGGCAGUCCCUCCCACAGCACCAAAGACUAUUUGACACUGCUGCAAAGGAGGACAUUGAAAUGUGCACUCAUCAAUGAUGACUUUUAAAGGAAACAAUAACAACACCUUUCUGACCUCAAAUUUUCUAUUGGAGGAUGAAAGCCCCACUGAAAAUUCUUGCUGAAGAGGCCAGAGCUUCUGGACCUGGAGCCUGAGGGACAUCCUGGGGGCUCCCACUGAAGGCAUCUCCCAUCAAAAGGGCCAUAGAGAUGGCAUGGGCAGGGUGAAGCAUAUCCCCACCCAAUCUCUUGGGUUACCUCAUGGUAAACACUCUCACCCCUUUCCUUCCCCUCUAGCCAGCACUGGCCUGCACAGUGGGCAUUUGCAUGCUUCUUAGCCAUUUUUAAUUAGAUCCUGAAAAUUCUUAUAUUAUGUUGUACCUUUCCACCCUGGGCCCUCACUGACUAUGGCCACUUGUGACAUUCUUAGCCACUUGCUUUCAUUCUUAGCACAGACAUGAAAACAGAUUUCUGUGUUCUUUGGACAAGUUAUUAGGCUUACAAUUAGUAAAGAGAACAAUGUCAGGCUCUGUGUAAAAGUUACAAGUGUGAAAUCGAGUUCUGCCAGUAAAUUGCUACCUUUUCUUUAGCAUUGCAAGCCACGCUCUCCAGUUUAUUUGAACACAUAAAAUAUGCUAAAUGUUUAGCAGCACCACUGUGUAAAGAAGAGUUGGAUGAAGUAUAUAUUUUUAAAUACAGUGAGUAAUAAAAUGUUGAGUAAAUUCCCAAGAAUAUCAUUUUGGGGCAAGUACAAUAGAAUGCUUAAUGGCAUAUAUUCCCAGGUUUGCUGUUUUUAUUCCUCCUUUUCUCCCGCUUUAAUCUCCUCACCCAGACAGUGGUUGUUGUUAUGGGAGCUGCUAGAAAGGGCUUCAUCCAUAGACACUUCCAGCACCGAGAGAAUGAGACGAGGAGCACCAGGCAUUUGCAGUCAGUGCCUCAUGUUUCAGCAGUGCACUGGGCACUGCCCUGUGCCCACCCCUGGCUGCAGUAGAUGGCAUCGAGCUGCUGGGCAUGCACUUGGGUGGUGGUUCAUAAGGACCACAGGAAACAAGGAAAAUUAUAAAGCGAAUGGGGGGGGGGGAGGGAUAAAGGCAAACAAGCCUCCUUCACAAAUUCAUUUUCUCCAAAUUUAUUUCCUUUUCAUUUAACUCGGUUGAGAAAUGUCCCCCCAGACUUCAUCAGAAAAUCAAUCUCCCCAUUUAAAGUUCUAAACGCAGUUCUAAGCAGCUCUGAUAUGCAAAGCGGCGUGAGAAAUCCAAACCCUCAUCAGACAAUCUGCACGUUGUUUGGAGCCACCGCUGCAGGUGAAGUCAGCAUCACUUCUCUCCAGACCAAACUCUGUGGGCUGAAUUGAGCCGAUGCUGCCCAGUUCCUGUGGCAAUUCCUGUAGCUGGGCUUCGGUAUGCAUAAACUCUCCACAUUUAGGAUAUUACCCUUCACAGAGCAGCUUAAUAUUUCAACAGGCCUUUUUAAUUUCGUAGCGCAAAUCACCUUUUACCCUUUGCCACACAGUUAUGCGCCGGGUAGCGCAGUGCACCCAUAUACCCACUGUUUAGCUGGUUUUAUACUGCUGGUUUGCAACUAACUGUCUGUACUUUGUUUCAAUAUUAAAAACUGUCUGCUGUAUGGUAGCUCUGAGAUCAUGUUCCCAAACCGCUCUCAGUUCCUGCUGCCUUUCUGUGCUAUCUAUCCUGGAAAUGGGAAUCUUUAUUCCAUAGGCUCAUAAGAGGGUAAAUAUACAUUUUCUAAUUCUAGGAGAUAUAUUCAAAAGAAAAACAAACAGCAGAUUCUGAUGUUAUAGUUCUCAUAUUUAGCCUGUAUUUUCUAGAACGUUACUUUUUAGUUGUUUUAAAAGUUGUACUAACUGUAAUCUAGGGAGACGUUACCUUCAUUUUGAAGCAUCAACCAAACACCAUAAUAUAAAUGAUGCAUAUUUGUUAUCUUUAAUUGUAUAUAUAUAAAAUAAAUAAAUAAUAACUGGGUAGUAUGGAGCAGUAUAUUUUCUAUACUGUCUCUGAGUUAUCAGUUGAUACAAGACAGUGCUACCAGUACGAUAGAUGUUCAAACUGCAAAUGUUUGGCACCAGGUAAAAAGUCUGUGGAGGGAUGGAACAACAUUCACUGCAGUUUGCUGGAUCAGCUCACCUUGUAGUAUGUCUGGGAGCUGAAUUUUACCCACAUACACAUGUAUA